Molecule: ribosomal RNA, 253 nt
Filed under: uncultured bacterium
Lineage: Bacteria
Description: partial 16S ribosomal RNA
Rfam family: Bacterial small subunit ribosomal RNA
Source: RNAcentral
UACGGGGGGGGUAAGCGUUGUUCGGAAUUACUGGGCGUAAAGGGCUCGUAGGCGGCCAACUAAGUCAUACGUGAAAUCCCUCAGCUUAACUGGGGAACUGCGUGUGAUACUGGAUGGCUUGGAUGUGGGAGAGGGAUGCGGAAUUCCAGGUGUAGCGGUGAAAUGCGUAGAUAUCUGGAGGAACACCGGUGGCGAAGGCGGCAUCCUGGACCGGCAUUGACGCUGAGGAGCGAAAGCCAGGGGAGCAAACAGG